UNUGACUUGAGUGCAGAAGGGGAGAGUGGAAUUCCAUGUGUAGCGGUGAAAUGCGUAGAUAUAUGGAGGANCACCAGUGGCGAAAGCGGCUCUCUGGUCUGUCACUGACGCUGAGGCUCGAAAGCGUGGGUAGCGAACAGGAUUAGAUACCCUGGUAGUNCACGCCGUAAACGAUGAGUGCUAGGUGUUAGGCCCUUUCCGGGGCUUAGUGCCGGAGCUAACGCAAUAAGCACUCCGCCUGGGGAGUACGACCGCAAGGUUGAAACUCAAAGGAAUUGACGGGGGCCCGCACAAGCGGUGGAGCAUGUGGUUUAAUUCGAAGCAACGCGAAGAACCUUGCCAGGUCUUGACAUCCCGAUGCUAUUCUUAGAGAUAGGAAGUUACUUCGGUACAUCGGAGACAGGUGGUGCAUGGUUGUCGUCAGCUCGUGUCGUGAGAUGUUGGGUUAAGUCCCGCAACGAGCGCAACCCUUAUUGUUAGUUGCCAUCAUUAAGUUGGGCACUCUAGCGAGACUGCCGGUAAUAAACCGGAGGAAGGUGGGGAUGACGUCAAAUCAUCAUGCCCCUUAUGACCUGGGCUACACACGUGCUACAAUGGUCGGUACAACGAGUUGCGAGCCGGUGACGGCAAGCUAAUCUCUGAAAGCCGAUCUCAGUUCGGAUUGGAGGCUGCAACUCGCCUCCAUGAAGUCGGAAUCGUUAGUAAUCGCGGAUCAGCACGCCGCGGUGAAUACGUUCCCGGGCCUUGUACACACCGCCCGUCACACCACGAGAGUUUGUAACACCCGAUGUCGGUGAGGUANCCUUUUAGGG
RNAcentral lists this ribosomal RNA (812 nucleotides) under uncultured bacterium. RNAcentral describes it as "bacterial SSU rRNA". It matches the Rfam family "Bacterial small subunit ribosomal RNA", at positions 636 to 1447 of the family's 1533-position model. The record is from RNAcentral.